UACGGAGGGUGCAAGCGUUGUUCGGAAUUACUGGGCGUAAAGCGCGCGUAGGCGGUUUUAUAAGUCAGAUGUGAAAGCCCAUGGCUCAACCAUGGACGUGCAUUUGAAACUGUGAGACUUGAGUAUCGGAGGGGGUGGUGGAAUUCCCGGUGUAGAGGUGAAAUUCGUAGAUAUCGGGAGGAAUACCGGUGGCGAAGGCGACCACCUGGCCGGAUACUGACGCUAAGGCGCGAAAGCGUGGGGAG
This 245-nucleotide ribosomal RNA is filed under the name uncultured bacterium. Its description in RNAcentral is "partial 16S ribosomal RNA". It matches the Rfam family "Bacterial small subunit ribosomal RNA", at positions 524 to 768 of the family's 1533-position model. The record is from RNAcentral.